Molecule: long non-coding RNA, 1938 nt
Organism: Populus trichocarpa (black cottonwood)
Lineage: Eukaryota; Viridiplantae; Streptophyta; Magnoliopsida; Malpighiales; Salicaceae
Exons: 2
Source: RefSeq, a predicted model, not a curated record
AUUAUUAUAUAAAUGUCUGAUUACGACAGAGAUUAUUACAUUUCCUGACUUUUGAUAUGUUCGCUGCUAGGAUAGAGAGAUUGUAGGAAUUGUUCUUGCGUGGACUUAAUGAGAUAAUAGAUAUGGUUGGGAUGCCUAGAGCUACUUUAUUCUUUGUUCAGGGGGGACUGAAAUGGCUCUUCGCAGCCAGUGGGUUUGAGAAAAACCCCUCUUGGAAUCAAAUUAAAGGCCACUAAAUCACGUGUCACAUAGUGGAGUCCCCACAAAUUCUUCUGUUGUCUCAUACACACACUUCCAUUUGUCUGGCUUGCAUGUGAGAAGGUAAUUGGCUCAGCUGCUCAAGUAAGGUUUUUUGAGUCUAUAUAAGGAGGGUCCGCUCCUUCUUGAUUAAGUCAGGACAAAAGAAAGCAUAGGUUCUCUCCAUGCGCAGAUCUUCAAGGCACUGGCUGUUCACUCCCCCUCAAGGGCUUCCUGUUUGCCCAAUCUGGUAAUGAUGGUUUUGUGUUUUAAGACAAAACAUAUACUACCAAGUAUCGAGGCAGGCUGGGGGCUCUUUUGGGGGUUUAAACAGGUUCUGUCUUGCUUACAAAGGCUCUCCGUAGUCUCAGGAUGGCAAUCGUUGCUCGCUCUCCCUCAGGGCUUCCAACGCAGUAAGCAGGUACGUGCAUGUCAGCAUAUUCUCGCUGCAGGCUCGAGGUCUUUGGUGAGAGUAGUGAUCAAAAGCUGUCAUGAUUUUGGCAGACAAGAAAAAACAAUAUCAUCUGUAAAUUCUUUGCUGGUAAUUAAUCCUACCUGCAGGUAUCUCCUCUUGCAAGAUUUUUUGGAUUAAAAAAAAAGAGUUUUUCGUUUCAUUUUAGUGGCUGGAUAUAUAGAAAUCACUCAAGCAUAUAGUAAUAGUUCAUGUUGUGAAAUAGCUAGAAAGGAUUUUUGUCACUUCAUCCAUUAAUCUUAGUUCUAGAAACGAAAACAUCGAGAGGAAAUCAUUAACUAGUAAGAUUUCGUGUCAACAAAACAGAAAGGCAUUACAAGGGAAACAAAUUGGUCUUUGUGAUCCUUUCAUGGGAUAUCGAGAAGAGCUUCUGUUUUUUGUAUUUCUCUUGAUAUAUGAAAUAAACGUGCAAGAAAAGACCAUCAACAGAAAAUUAGUGUCUUUGCUAAAUUGUAGAAAAUAUGUAUGGUUGUCGUUCAAGCACCGAUCAAGGAUUUUUCCAAUUGACGUUGGAUUUUUCCAGUUAAUCAAGGAUCAAUCUUAACUAGCUUGCAGUUAACUACGAUCUAUGUCUUCGCUUCUCCAACAGUUAUUCUUCGAAAGAGCCACGCACAACAGACUUGCUCCUAUGCACCCAAGAAAGCUUUCCGUCCUCUUCAAGGUAGUGAAACUGAAAGAUACUCUUAAAAACAAUAAAGGCAAACAACAUUUCUUAAUAAACGCAGAAACCUCCUGAGGCAUGCCUCGAAGGCGAAUCUAAGACGCGAAUUAAUCUGGGCUACGCCUUCAGACGUGACAUAUAGCUUGCGACUUCUAAGCCUUAUCCCGGUGCCUAUCCGACUGGAUCAUCCUUUGGCCAGCUUACUCCCCAAAAGCAGAUGGGAUGUGACCCGCCGGUGCUUAGGGGCCAGCAACUGCUUGUUCCUCGCUUGGGGUGGAGAUGGUGCUACAGGAGGUGUUUUGGUGUUGGUGUGCAGGUGCUCAGGUGCAGUAGGCUGGCUGGUGAAUGAACAAGGAAGUCAAAUGCCUCUUGUAAUUUCAAGUUUUGCCGUCACUGACUUUUCUCCUCUCUCCCUUUGGCUGUGAAACCUAUCUUCUUGAAGAAAGAGAGAGCCGCUGAUAAUAAACAUUUCAUACGAAAAUACAAUUUUUUAUUUUUAUUUGUUUAAAUCUCAACACCUGGCUUUCUUUGAAAAAGGAUAUAGUGAAUCAAAAGAAAGGUUUGCUUU